RNAcentral lists this ribosomal RNA (615 nucleotides) under uncultured bacterium. RNAcentral's name for it is "bacterial SSU rRNA". It matches the Rfam family "Bacterial small subunit ribosomal RNA", at positions 338 to 950 of the family's 1533-position model. The record is from RNAcentral.
CCUACGGGAGGCAGCAGUAGGGAAUCUUCCACAAUGGGCGAAAGCCUGAUGGAGCAACGCCGCGUGAGUGAUGAAGGCCUUCGGGUUGUAAAACUCUGUCAUUCGGGACGAACCGGAGUCUGAGGAAAUGCAGACUCUCUGACGGUACCGGAGGAGGAAGCCCCGGCUAACUACGUGCCAGCAGCCGCGGUAAUACGUAGGGGGCAAGCGUUGUCCGGAUUCACUGGGCGUAAAGCGCGCGCAGGCGGUGAUGUAAGUCUGAGGUGAAAACCCGAAGCUCAACUUCGGGACUGCCUUGGAUACUGCGUCACUUGAGGAUAGGAGAGGCAAGGGGAAUUCCACGUGUAGCGGUGAAAUGCGUAGAGAUGUGGAGGAACACCUGUGGCGAAGGCGCCUUGCUGGCCUAUUUCUGACGCUGAGGCGCGAAAGCGUGGGGAGCAAACAGGAUUAGAUACCCUGGUAGUCCACGCUGUAAACGAUGAGUGCUAGGUGUAGGUGGGCUCAUACCCAUCUGUGCCGAAGCUAACGCAUUAAGCACUCCGCCUGGGGAGUCGGUCGCAAGCUGAAACUUAAGGAAUUGACGGCGNGAGAGNGCGAGGNGACACGAGGGAGAGG